RNAcentral lists this long non-coding RNA (1930 nucleotides) under Sinocyclocheilus grahami. RNAcentral's name for it is "lncRNA (ENSSGRG00000001571.1)". Lineage: Eukaryota; Metazoa; Chordata; Actinopteri; Cypriniformes; Cyprinidae. The record is from RNAcentral.
CCAGUUUGAAAACCCCGGUUAAACUGCGAUUACAAAGCUCAGACCGCUGUAUCCCACAAUGCAGUGCGCUCAGUUUGAGCUUGAGUUCACACAUGUACAUGGACGCAUUGGGCAGAGGACUCUUCAGUCGUGCUGUGACUGUGAUCUGAAGCCGUGUGGUUGUGUGUGUGUUUGUAGAGUGUUAUGAUGGACGUCUUCAGCCGCUUCGGUCCGCUGCAGUCAGUGGAGCUGAGCGAGAGAUCAGGAGCGUCUGGAGCGAGCGGCAGCGGUGUGUCCAGAUACUUCACCUCCAGACACAGACAGGUGACGCCUUCACAGCCGCAGCACAAGCACCAGCUUACUGACACCUUCACCAAAUCAUCAUCAUAACUGUGUGUGUGUGUGUGUGUGUGNNNNNNNNNNCCACCCAGAGAACACCCCACUGAUCAUCUCCAGCACCGACAGACCUGUCAGAACCGGCAUCCGCAGUGAGUGUGUGCGUGAGUGUGUGUGUGUGUGUGUGUGAGCGUGAGUGUGUGUGAUGAAGGUGGUGGUGGUGAUGAUGAUGUGUGUGUGUCUAGAGUGGAUCCAGCAGUACUCAGACUCGCUGAUCAAAGCUUCAUCACUACAGCAGGACAUCGAUCAGUUCAUGAAUGACUACGACACACAGAAGGAGGAGGUGAGACGCACACACACACACACACUCGCACACAUGCACUCACUCACUCACACUCAUUCACUCACUCACUUACAUGCGCGCACACACACACACACACACACGCACGCACGCACUCACUUGCACACACACACACACACACUCAAUCACUCACACUCACUCACACUCACAAACACACACUCUCACACUUACACACACUCACGCACACACACACUCACUCAUUCACUCACUCACUCAUUCACUCACUCACACGCACACACACUCACUCACUCACACUCACUCACUCACGCACGCACACUCACGCAUUCUCACACACUCGCACGCUCACUCACUCACUCACGCACACAUACACACUCACACUCACUCACACGCACACACACUCACACUCACUCACACACUCACUCAUUCACUCACUCACACGCACGCGCACACUCACUCACUCACACGCACGCACACUCACGCAUUCACUCACACACUCACACGCACACUCACUCACUCACUGACACAUUCACACUCACUCACACGCACACACUCACUCACACGCACACUCACUCACUCACUCACUCACGCACACAUACACACUCACUCACUCACACGCACUCACACUCACUCACACGCACACACUCACUCAUUCACUCACUCGCUCACUUGCACACGCACACACACUCACUCAUUCACUCACUCACACGCACGCACACUCACUCACACGCAUUCACGCACACACUCACACGCACGCUCACUCACUCACUCACACACUCUCACUCACUCACACGCACACACUCACUCAUUCACUCACUCACUCACACACUCUCACUCACUCACACGCACACACUCACUCAUUCACUCACUCACACGCACGCACACUCACUCACACGCAUUCACGCACACACUCACACGCACGCAUUCACUCACUCACACGCACGCGCACGCAUUCACUCACUCACUCUUUCACUUACUCACACACACACACUCACUCGCACGCACACACUCACUCAUUCACUCACUCACUCACUUGCACACGCAUUCUUUUGGCAUUUCCUCUCAAAUUCGCUUACAGAAAAAAUGACUGCAGCAGCAUGAUUUUGUUCGAAAUGAAGUCAAGUCAAGUCAAGUCACCUUUAUUUAUAUAGCGCUUUUAACAAUACAGAUUGUGACAAAGCAACUGAACAGUAUUAAUUAGGAAAAUAGUGUCAAUAAUGCAAAAUGACAAUAGUAAACACUCAUUUUUCAGUUAAAGACAGUUCAUCAUUGAAUUCAGUGAUGUCAACAUCCAGC